GUUGAACGCUGGCGGCAUGCUUUACACAUGCAAGUCGAACGGCAGCGCGGGCUUCGGCCUGGCGGCGAGUGGCGGACGGGUGGGUAAUACAUCGGAACGUGCCCAGUAGUGGGGGAUGGGUCGGCGAAAGCCGGAUUAAUACCGCAUCCGACAUGAGGGUGAAAGGGGGGGAUCUUUGGUCCAAGCGGUAUUGGAGCGGCCGAUGGCAGAUUAGCUAGUUGGUGGGGUAAAGGCUUACCAAGGCGACGAUCUGUAGCAGGUCUGAGAGGACGACCAGCCACACUGGGACUGAGACACGGCCCAGACUCCUACGGGAGGCAGCAGUGGGGAAUCUUGGACAAUGGGCGAAAGCCUGAUCCAGCAAUGCCGCGUGAGUGAUGAAGGCCUUCGGAUUGUAAAGCACUGUUGGCGGGAACGAAAAGGAGUGUGCCAAUACCACGGUUCGAUGACGGUACCCGCAGAGUAAGCACCGGCUAACUACGUG
RNAcentral lists this ribosomal RNA (484 nucleotides) under uncultured bacterium. RNAcentral's name for it is "partial 16S ribosomal RNA". It matches the Rfam family "Bacterial small subunit ribosomal RNA", at positions 28 to 507 of the family's 1533-position model. The record is from RNAcentral.